Molecule: ribosomal RNA, 253 nt
Filed under: uncultured bacterium
Lineage: Bacteria
Description: partial 16S ribosomal RNA
Rfam family: Bacterial small subunit ribosomal RNA
Source: RNAcentral
UACAUGGGGUGCAAACGUUGCUCGGAAUUAUUGGGCGUAAAGCGCACGUAGGCGGUUCGUCAAGUCGGAUGUGAAAGCCCUCGGCUCAACUGAGGAAGUGCACCCGAAACUGGCGAGCUUGAGUACGAAAGAGGAUCGCGGAAUUCCCGGUGUAGAGGUGAAAUUCGUAGAUAUCGGGAGGAACACCGGUGGCGAAGGCGGCGAUCUGGGUCGAUACUGACGCUGAGGUGCGAAAGCGUGGGGAGCAAACAGG